Neofelis nebulosa (Clouded leopard) is the source of this 1022-nucleotide RNA transcript. It is a transcript of the gene named zinc finger protein 12-like, with no coding region annotated. The transcript has 2 exons. The record is from RefSeq and is a predicted model, not a curated record. NCBI's taxonomy places the organism in Eukaryota, Metazoa, Chordata, Mammalia, Carnivora, Felidae.
AAAAUACUGACAUGUGAGCUAGUCUCUAGUCCAGGGAAUCAGAAUCUCUGGCAGUGAGGACAAGGGAUCAGAAUUACCAGUAAUUUAUUUUAUUAUUUUUAAAGUUUAUUUAUUUAUUUUGAGAGAGCACGCAAGCAGGGGAGAGGCAGAGAGAGAGAGAGGGAGAGAGAGAGAAUCUCAAGCAGGCUCCACACUGUCAGCGCGAGCCCGAUGUGGGGCUCAAACUUACAAACCAUAAGAUAGUGACCUGAGCCAAAAUCAAGAGUCAGACGCUUAACCGACUGAGCCACCCUGGCACCCCAAAGAUAUUUUCUAGUUGCAAUUGAAGUUUAGAAUUCUACAUUGGGCUGAAAAGCAUUAAUUCCACUACUCAUGUCAUUGUCAUAGCUCUGUGAAGCCCUCAGAUGUUUAGGGAGCCUGCAGUUCAAACAUGUUGCUGGCUUGUCGGAGGUAGCCUUCGUUGCCAUUAGCUCCUUAUUUUUUAAAAAGUCAGCAAGCCACAGACGAUCAUUAGUUAUAUGCAUGCUGCUCUUUUGGUACCUGUGUAUGACAUAUUUCCUCUUCCCAAUGACUUGCUAUCUAGGCAGAGAGACAGGUUCAUAAGCAUUUAUUCAAAUGCAGUAUAUGUUGGUUGCCCUAGGUACAGAAAAAAACCUUCUUCAGUUAACUCUUGAUCUUUUGGAUGAAGCAUUUGGCAGAAUCAUAGUCCUGCUGGCUCUCUAUUUACAGAAUACUCCCAAAGGAAUAUUCUCUGCUAAGGGAGGUUGAAGGUUUGAAGCGACUCGUGCAAUGUGCAGUGAUGCUGGCAGCACAUACUAAAGCUUCCAGAAGGCCCUGGCCUGGGACCACCAAAUCAGAUCUGUAUGUCAAGUCACAGUAAUCCUGCAGAAGCAGGGAUUAGUAUCAUUCAAGGAUGUGUCAGUCAGUUUCACCCAGGUGGAGUGGCAGUGGCUGGACUCAGCUCAGAAGAUCCUGUACAGGGAUGUGAUGCUGGAGAACUACAGCAAACUGGUUUCAGUGGG